This 500-nucleotide ribosomal RNA is filed under the name uncultured Glomeromycotina. Its description in RNAcentral is "partial small subunit ribosomal RNA". It matches the Rfam family "Eukaryotic small subunit ribosomal RNA", at positions 591 to 1092 of the family's 1831-position model. Lineage: Eukaryota; Fungi; Glomeromycota. The record is from RNAcentral.
CCAAUAGCGUAUAUUAAAGUUGUUGCAGUUAAAAAGCUCGUAGUUGAAUUUCGGGGUUAGUAGGUUGGUCAUGCCUCUGGUAUGUACUGGUCUCACUGAUUCCUCCUUCCUGAUGAACCGUAAUGCCAUUAAUUUGGUGUUAUGGGGAAUUUGGACUGUUACUUUGAAAAAAUUAGAGUGUUUAAAGCAGGCUAACGCUUGAAUUCAUUAGCAUGGAAUAAUGAAAUAGGACGUUCGAUCCUAUUUUGUUGGUUUCUAGGAUUGACGUAAUGAUUAAUAGGGAUAGUUGGGGGCAUUAGUAUUCAAUUGUCAGAGGUGAAAUUCUUGGAUUUAUUGAAGACUAACUACUGCGAAAGCAUUUGCCAAGGAUGUUUUCAUUAAUCAAGAACGAAAGUUAGGAGAUCGAAGACGAUCAGAUACCGUCGUAGUCUUAACCAUAAACUAUGCUGAUUAGGGAUCAGAUGAUGUUAAUUUUUUAAUGACUCAUUCGGCGCCUUACG